CGGUGAGGUGUCUGAGUGGCUGAAGGAGCACGCCUGGAAAGUGUGUAUACGCGUAAGCGUAUCGAGGGUUCGAACCCCUCUCUCACCGCCAA
RNAcentral lists this transfer RNA (92 nucleotides) under Yersinia pestis Angola. Its description in RNAcentral is "tRNA-Ser". It matches the Rfam family "tRNA". From Rfam's summary of the family: Transfer RNA (tRNA) molecules are approximately 80 nucleotides in length. Their secondary structure includes four short double-helical elements and three loops (D, anti-codon, and T loops). RNAcentral also lists the same sequence under 8 other names. Lineage: Bacteria; Pseudomonadati; Pseudomonadota; Gammaproteobacteria; Enterobacterales; Yersiniaceae. The record is from RNAcentral.